GCUUUAUAGAAUGGGUACACUGUGAUUUAUUUAUCCUUUCUCUACUUUUGAAUAUUUGAGUACGGCUUCUAGUUUGGGGCUAUUACAGCCAGUAUUCCUGUUUUUUUGGUUAACACAUGUAUGCAUUUCAGUCAGAAACAUCGAAAUAACCCCUGCAGCAUAUGAGACUUCCAAUUGCUCCACAUUCUCACCAACACUUAUUUUCCAUCUUUUUUGAAAAACAAUUGUAACAUCACAUUCUCCUUACAUCUCCUCCCACUGACCUUGGAAUCAGAACUAAAUUUCUUUACAUAACCUACACAACUCUGUGAUCUGGCCCUUACCUCCCCAAUUCUAUCUGCAUCUACAUGCAUCGUCUUAUUUCCCACCUAUUGUAUGUUGACCUUCUUCCUAAACAGUACUUGCCAUUCUCCUGCUACCCCUGGGCCUUGCACACAACAAACUCUUUGCUCUCUUUCCUAGGAUUAGCUCCUAAUCCUUCAAAUAUCAACUCGGUGGUCUCUUCCCCAGGACAAAUCCUGCUAUCAUAUGCUCUCAAAGCACCUCAGCUUCAGUUUAAAAGAUUAGCAUUAUUUGAUUUUAUAGACUCUCCAGUCUGGGCUCUGCCAGUGCAGAGAAGUAUAUUUUUACUCAUCAUUGCACAUGCGGGGGUUGGGACAGAGUUGGAGCUCAUAUAUUUGAAGGAACAAAUGAACAAAUGGGACACUGAUACAGUACUUUUGCCUCUCUAGUUUUUAUGGUGGGGUGAAUCUUACAUUUGAUAUGCAUUGGGGGAAACUGUCAGGUCUGAAACUGUUUUUGAUAUAGAGAACUUAAGAGAAUUACAUAAAUGUCAUUUGGCUAUAUAAUAUUCAUCUGAAUUUAACUUUUGCAACCGUUACUGUUUACCCAAGAGAAGUCAGUAAUGUCAGAUCACACUGUUCAAGGUCUAUUUGAUUAUAACCUUCAAAGAUGCUCAGUACAUCUCUGGGUCACAGCUAUUUGUGCAAUUUUCUAAAUGAACAAGGACAUUAGAUGCAUUGAUUUCACUGGCAUCCCCUCAAAUGGAGAACUGGCCAAUAAAACUGCUCUCAAGGGAGUAAACUCUGAAAUUUCCCCUGAAAAUUUUAUUUCCAUCUUUACACAAUUAGAAGAGAGAAGCCACUCCCAGUGUAGCAAACCCAUAACCAAAGGGCCCCAAGGCUUUGUGUUUGGUCCUCACUGCCUGAUUAAAUGUCUCAGUCUGUUUUGUGCUGCUACCACAGACUGGAUAAUUUGUAAUGAACAGAAACUUCUCAUAGUUCUGAAGGCUGGGAAGUCCAGGGGCUGGCAUCUGCUGAGGGCAUUCUUGCUGUGUCAUCCCAUUGCAGAAGGGCAAAAAGGCUAGCUUCCAGCUUUUUUUAGGACUUGAGCCUUGGAAUAAGGGUCCUGCAAACAUUUACUCAUGUCUCCCUGUUCCAGAGCCUGUCCCACUGUGAACUCAUCACAGAUGAUGGGAUCCUGCACCUGAGCAACAGCACCUGUGGCCAUGAGAGGCUGCGGGUACUGGAGUUGGACAACUGCCUCCUCAUCACUGAUGUGGCCCUGGAACACCUAGAGAACUGCCGAGGCCUGGAGCGCCUUGAGCUGUACGACUGCCAGCAGGUUACCCGUGCAGGCAUCAAGCGGAUGCGGGCUCAGCUCCCUCAUGUCAAAGUCCACGCCUACUUUGCUCCCGUCACCCCACCGACAGCAGUGGCAGGAAGUGGACAGCGACUGUGCAGGUGCUGUGUCAUUCUCUGACAGCAGCUGCCUGGGCCCAAGGGGUGAUGAGGCAUCCUUUCCUCUAGAAGACCUGAGUCUUCCUGACCUACUCCACCAUCACCCCAUCUGUUGAUUCUCCAUUGGGAAAGGCAUUUACAGGUAAAAGACUUCUGUAUGGAUUGCAGUUACUCUGGUGAUAGUUUUCACCUUUAUUCUGCUGUGAAACAAUCAAAUCAAAGCCUUGUGUCAGUUAACACGUGACAAGUGGUCUCAAUGCAGCUAGGACCAUGCCAGAAACCUGGAUCUCUUAAGAGAUUGGUACUCCUAGGUACAAAAGUUCUACCCUUGGCAUUAUCAGCAUUCCUCAAAAAGACCAUCAGUGUUAGCACAAACUGAGCAGAAAAAAUAAGCUGUUGAUUUUCUACCUGAUACUUAAGCCAGUGGCCUACUUUAAUUCACAAUUCCAUUUUGAUUAGCAGGACUUUUCCACUUUGAAGAUAAAAUAGCAACUUUAUCAAAGUGACUAUACUGCAAAUUCAUAAUGCCUGAUAGUUUUAUAUGUAGAGACUUAUGUGGAAGGCAUGUUAAUAGGUUUCCAUGAGACACCAAAGAAAAGAGGACUCUAUACUGGGUGGAGCAGGGUCUUCACCUUUUUGUUUCUGUCAACUUGUCAUAUACACCUCUAGGGACCAAAAACAAAAGCAGCUGAGUCUGUGUUGCCUGAUUGGAAAGUAGAAGCUCUGGUGUAUGCUACAGCACAUAAUGCAUUUUUAUUAAAGGAAAAAAGCUAAUUAUGUCCAUGCCUCUCAUAAAACUGGGGGGGAACCUUAAAGAGAAAGAACUAAGGCUUAAGUUAUGUGUAGUAUAAUCAAUUAGAAGUAAUGAAUGGAUGCAUGUAAAAUGGAUGUGAUUUUUUUUCAAGCUUAUUUUGAAAUCUUAAAAAUCAGGUUACACCAUAGCUACUCAAAAGUUUUACAGACUUAAAACUCAGAUCAGUAAGUGUUGGUACCUUUUAGACUCAUAAAAAUUGAAUAAACCAUUGCAAUGCUUU
Molecule: small RNA, 2773 nt
Filed under: Pongo abelii (Sumatran orangutan)
Lineage: Eukaryota; Metazoa; Chordata; Mammalia; Primates; Hominidae
Description: retained intron
Source: RNAcentral